Molecule: long non-coding RNA, 330 nt
Organism: Epinephelus fuscoguttatus (brown-marbled grouper)
Lineage: Eukaryota; Metazoa; Chordata; Actinopteri; Perciformes; Serranidae
Exons: 4
Source: RefSeq, a predicted model, not a curated record
AGACAGGAGAGGAGGAGAGAGAGGAGCAGCUAUAUCAGAUGAUCACUGUGUGUGUUCAUGAAUAUUUUACAACAGUCAUUCAGUUAGAAGAAUCUCAUCAUAAUGUACACAUCCCGGCAGCAGCCCCCUGUGACACUAUCGAAAUUUCUGCAAGGAAAUUUUCAAGUUUUCUUUUGUUCCCAAGAGAUGCAGCAUUUGGCUUGAGUUGGAGGAAAAGACCUCAAAGACUGUGUCCACAAAGUGUUUGAUCGGCUCUUUACCAAUACUCUAAUGAGCCGUUUCAAUAUGAAGGGGAGGGGGAAGAAGGAUAAAAUGCCUCUUGAAAACACC